This 281-nucleotide ribosomal RNA is filed under the name Cryptosporidium sp. bandicoot 206. RNAcentral describes it as "partial 18S ribosomal RNA". It matches the Rfam family "Eukaryotic small subunit ribosomal RNA", at positions 476 to 777 of the family's 1831-position model. The record is from RNAcentral. Lineage: Eukaryota; Apicomplexa; Conoidasida; Eucoccidiorida; Cryptosporidiidae.
AAAAACAAUACCGGAAUUUUUGGUUUUGUAAUUGGAAUGAGUUAAGUAUAAACCCCUUUACAAGUAUCAAUUGGAGGGCAAGUCUGGUGCCAGCAGCCGCGGUAAUUCCAGCUCCAAUAGCGUAUAUUAAAGUUGUUGCAGUUAAAAAGCUCGUAGUUGGAUUUCUGUUAAUAAUUUAUAUAAAAUAUUUUGAUGAAUAUUUAUAUAAUAUUAACAUAAUUCAUAUUACUAUUUUUUUUUUUAAAAAAUAAAAUUUUAUUUUGAAAAAAUUAAAGGGCUUA